AUACGAUGAAGAGUUUGAUCCUGGCUCAGGAUGAACGCUAGCGGCAGGCCUAACACAUGCAAGUCGAGGGGUAGACAUCUUCGGAUGUUGAGACCGGCGCACGGGUGCGUAACGCGUAUGCAAUCUACCUUAUACUAAGGGAUAGCCCAGAGAAAUUUGGAUUAAUACCUUAUAGUUAAUU
Molecule: ribosomal RNA, 181 nt
Filed under: Paenimyroides ummariense
Lineage: Bacteria; Pseudomonadati; Bacteroidota; Flavobacteriia; Flavobacteriales; Flavobacteriaceae
Description: Flavobacterium ummariense 16S rRNA. Bacterial SSU
Rfam family: Bacterial small subunit ribosomal RNA
Source: RNAcentral